Molecule: non-coding RNA, 183 nt
Filed under: uncultured Methylobacterium sp.
Lineage: Bacteria; Pseudomonadati; Pseudomonadota; Alphaproteobacteria; Hyphomicrobiales; Methylobacteriaceae
Source: RNAcentral
CGGUGACGGUUCCCUUCGGGGAUCAAAAGGGAACGCGGUGAGGACUUUCGGGUCCGAUGCCGCGGCUGCCCCCGCAACUGUAAGCGGCGAGCCUUUUCACCACCGAUGUCACUGGAUGAGCCUCAUCCGGGAAGACGGUGAGACGGCGACGACCCGCGAGCCAGGAGACCUGCCGUCAGUCGU